This 119-nucleotide ribosomal RNA is filed under the name Helianthus annuus (common sunflower). Lineage: Eukaryota; Viridiplantae; Streptophyta; Magnoliopsida; Asterales; Asteraceae. The record is from RNAcentral.
GGUUACGAUCAUACCAGCACUAAUGCACCGGAUCCCAUCAGAACUCCGCAGUUAAGCGUGCUUGGGCGAGCGUAGUACUAGGAUGGGUGACCCCCUGGGAAGUCCUCGUGUUGCAACCC